Molecule: ribosomal RNA, 1371 nt
Filed under: uncultured bacterium
Lineage: Bacteria
Description: bacterial SSU rRNA
Rfam family: Bacterial small subunit ribosomal RNA
Source: RNAcentral
GAUGAACGCUGGCGGCGUGCCUAAUACAUGCAAGUCGAGCGAACGGACGAGAAGCUUGCUUCUCUGAUGUUAGCGGCGGACGGGUGAGUAACACGUGGAUAACCUACCUAUAAGACUGGGAUAACUUCGGGAAACCGGAGCUAAUACCGGAUAAUAUUUUGAACCGCAUGGUUCAAAAGUGAAAGACGGUCUUGCUGUCACUUAUAGAUGGAUCCGCGCUGCAUUAGCUAGUUGGUAAGGUAACGGCUUACCAAGGCAACGAUGCAUAGCCGACCUGAGAGGGUGAUCGGCCACACUGGAACUGAGACACGGUCCAGACUCCUACGGGAGGCAGCAGUAGGGAAUCUUCCGCAAUGGGCGAAAGCCUGACGGAGCAACGCCGCGUGAGUGAUGAAGGUCUUCGGAUCGUAAAACUCUGUUAUUAGGGAAGAACAUAUGUGUAAGUAACUGUGCACAUCUUGACGGUACCUAAUCAGAAAGCCACGGCUAACUACGUGCCAGCAGCCGCGGUAAUACGUAGGUGGCAAGCGUUAUCCGGAAUUAUUGGGCGUAAAGCGCGCGUAGGCGGUUUUUUAAGUCUGAUGUGAAAGCCCACGGCUCAACCGUGGAGGGUCAUUGGAAACUGGAAAACUUGAGUGCAGAAGAGGAAAGUGGAAUUCCAUGUGUAGCGGUGAAAUGCGCAGAGAUAUGGAGGAACACCAGUGGCGAAGGCGACUUUCUGGUCUGUAACUGACGCUGAUGUGCGAAAGCGUGGGGAUCAAACAGGAUUAGAUACCCUGGUAGUCCACGCCGUAAACGAUGAGUGCUAAGUGUUAGGGGGUUUCCGCCCCUUAGUGCUGCAGCUAACGCAUUAAGCACUCCGCCUGGGGAGUACGACCGCAAGGUUGAAACUCAAAGGAAUUGACGGGGACCCGCACAAGCGGUGGAGCAUGUGGUUUAAUUCGAAGCAACGCGAAGAACCUUACCAAAUCUUGACAUCCUUUGACAACUCUAGAGAUAGAGCCUUCCCCUUCGGGGGACAAAGUGACAGGUGGUGCAUGGUUGUCGUCAGCUCGUGUCGUGAGAUGUUGGGUUAAGUCCCGCAACGAGCGCAACCCUUAAGCUUAGUUGCCAUCAUUAAGUUGGGCACUCUAAGUUGACUGCCGGUGACAAACCGGAGGAAGGUGGGGAUGACGUCAAAUCAUCAUGCCCCUUAUGAUUUGGGCUACACACGUGCUACAAUGGACAAUACAAAGGGCAGCGAAACCGCGAGGUCAAGCAAAUCCCAUAAAGUUGUUCUCAGUUCGGAUUGUAGUCUGCAACUCGACUACAUGAAGCUGGAAUCGCUAGUAAUCGUAGAUCAGCAUGCUACGGUGAAUACGUUCCCGGGUC